RNAcentral lists this ribosomal RNA (690 nucleotides) under Triticum aestivum (bread wheat). RNAcentral describes it as "partial small subunit ribosomal RNA". Lineage: Eukaryota; Viridiplantae; Streptophyta; Magnoliopsida; Poales; Poaceae. The record is from RNAcentral.
AUGGAAGCUAUUGUGAAGGCAAGAAAAGAAGCCAACGAGGUGAGGAAAAUGGCAAGGACCCAAGAUGCCGCGGCCGAGGAAAGGUGGUUGGCGGCCGAGGAGAGGAGGGUGGCGGCCGAGGAGAGGAAGGUGACUUUGGAGGAGAGGAAGGUGAGCAAUAAGGAGCGAACUAGAUUGUUGGAAUGGGAGAAGAACUUGUUCUUAUUAGACACAACUAACCUCAAUGAGGCGCAAAAGGAGUAUGUCAAUCUUGCCCAACAAGAAGUCUUGAUCCAAAAAAGAGCCAUGGUUCGUGCAAUGGGUGGCGGUGGCCUCGGCGCCAUGGGUGGCGGUGGCCUCAACGCCAUGGGUGGCAUGGGUGGCUUCGGAGGUAUCGUGGACGGUUUAGGUGCAAUGGGAGGCAUGGCUGGCUUUGGAGCACCCCCCGACGCUAUGGCCACCAUGGGAGGCAUGAGUUUUGCUUCUCUCAUGGAAGGCAUGGGUGCACCUCCGGCCACCAUAGGCGGAAUGUCUUUCGAUGUGCCUCCUCGCACACAUUCCCAUGAAGAUGCCGUUGAAGAUCUUGCCAACAUCGUCGGAGCUUCACGUGAUGCGGUGCGCGAUGAGGAGAGGGAGGAAGAUUCAUCUUCGGAGGCGGAAGAAUCGUCUUCCGAAGAUGAGGACGAGGACGAGGACGAGGACGAGGAAUGA